Molecule: ribosomal RNA, 468 nt
Filed under: uncultured bacterium
Lineage: Bacteria
Description: partial 16S ribosomal RNA
Rfam family: Bacterial small subunit ribosomal RNA
Source: RNAcentral
GACGAACGCUGGCGGCGUGCUUAACACAUGCAAGUCGAACGGAAAGGCCCUGCUUUUUUGGGGUGCUCGAGUGGCGAACGGGUGAGUAACACGUGAGUAACCUGCCCUUGACUUUGGGAUAACUUCAGGAAACUGGGGCUAAUACCGGAUAGGAGCUCCUGCUGCAUGGUGGGGGUUGGAAAGUUUCGGCGGUUGGGGAUGGACUCGCGGCUUAUCAGCUUGUUGGUGGGGUAGUGGCUUACCAGGGCUUUGACGGGUAGCCGGCCUGAGAGGGUGACCGGCCACAUUGGGACUGAGAUACGGCCCAGACUCCUACGGGAGGCAGCAGUGGGGAAUAUUGCACAAUGGGCGGAAGCCUGAUGCAGCAACGCCGCGUGCGGGAUGACGGCCUUCGGGUUGUAAACCGCUUUCGCCUGUGACGAAGCGUGAGUGACGGUAAUGGGUAAAGAAGCACCGGCUAACUACGUG